Long non-coding RNA from Actinia tenebrosa (Australian red waratah sea anemone), 1171 nucleotides. RefSeq lists it as uncharacterized. The record is from RefSeq and is a predicted model, not a curated record. Lineage: Eukaryota; Metazoa; Cnidaria; Anthozoa; Actiniaria; Actiniidae.
UAUCAAAACAAACCAAAUAAGUACCACGGCAGGUGAAAAAUGACCUAGCGAUUUUGUCGUGCAUAAUAUAUGAUUCUUCGCUGUAAACACGAUCAAAACAAACGAAAAACUACGCGAGGCUUUUCGUAUCGCUGCAACAAUAACACGGAGAGGAUUCCUGCCAAGAAAAAUAUAACACAUUGUGUAACCAGACGUUUCAGAUUCUGAUCCAAUAUCGCCAUGUCGAAGAUGGUUGACGCAUUCUGUAGUUUGCUCUGGGGUAUCAUCUGGCUAAUCAUCCUCUUCAUAGUAGCCUUCCCUAUCGGUUUUAUUGCUGCUAUACUCUUCAUCCUUAUCUCGCCUCUCAACGUAUGCUGCGAUUGUACAUUAUCUUUGACCGAUUUUCUCAAGAAAGGAUUGGAAUUUCCUUACAACGCAGCUCAAAAUGCGGUAAACGGAAAAAGAGGAUGUUAAACUGAGAUAACACUGGAACAUAUUUGUGGACAGCACUUAUUUAGACAUCUAUAUAAAUAGUGAAGUAGAGUGCACGCACUAAAUCCGUGAACAUUAAUCAGUACUAAUGAGUACUAUUUCAUACAGAAUCCUUUGUUUUCUAUUGUUUAUUUAUCACCAUUUAGUACUAAAAGUUAGUAUUUGUUUCACGGGUUUAGUGCGUGCACUCUAUUAAAUAGAGCUAUAAAGCCCAGUAAAACAGUGAAACGCCAGUCGAAAAGCCGAAAUCAGUUCUUGGAAACUACAAUAACCGCAAAAAACAACAACAACAACAACAACAAAAAAAACAAAAACAACAACACAAGAACGUACGGGCCUUUAGAAUAAACCUUCUUUGAAGAGAAAAAUACUAAAAACAAAUUAACAGAACUCCCCAUAUUUUUCAAACAUAAGAUAAGUAUCCCUCUCCCUCGAUAUGCUAACAUCCCAACCCCGAUAACUGGUAACUAAAGAUUAUAGCAACCCACGUAAAACCAAGUAUGAAAAAGUUAUAAAACUACUAAAAACAACUCCAAUUUUUGCUACAGUAAUUUAUAAUUCACCUUAAAAUAACAUGCAUAUAAAAUCCUAAAACAGCAAGGAUAUUUUACCUUAUCUUAAAUAAUCAAAAGCUAUAUCCUGUAUAACAUUGAAUUAUUUCAGCAAUAAUAUUAUUAAAAUAGAGAUAGGAUUUCAUUAA